RNAcentral lists this transfer-messenger RNA (366 nucleotides) under Paenibacillaceae. Its description in RNAcentral is "Pristimantibacillus sp016019935 Standard tmRNA". It matches the Rfam family "transfer-messenger RNA". From Rfam's summary of the family: Bacterial tmRNA, also known as 10Sa RNA or SsrA, is named for its dual tRNA and mRNA-like properties. Its role is to liberate the mRNA from a stalled ribosome. Lineage: Bacteria; Bacillati; Bacillota; Bacilli; Caryophanales. The record is from RNAcentral. RNAcentral also lists the same sequence under 1 other name.
GGGGGCGUUUAUGGAUUCGACGGGGAUUGGACGAGCGCGUGUUAGCGGGUAGCAGGGAGUCGUCUGCUUCAUCAACGCUAAAGCCUAUUAAAUGGCAAAACUCAAAACAACUACGCUUUAGCAGCCUAAGAAACUGUUGGCGUGCUUCUACCCAGCAUCGUCCAUGUGACUGGGAUAGGGGCUAACAUAUAGUGGAAUACGCUGUCACAUCUCCGCCUGGGGUGUGCUGAAGAAGAUAAUCAGGCUGACCCAACGCAGAGCAGGUUACAGUGCGCUGCUCGGGUGACAUCAAAUCUGUAACUACACCCGUAGAAAGCCGUGUGGCGUGAUCUUCGGACAGGGGUUCAAAUCCCCUCGCCUCCACCA